GACGAACGCUGGCGGCGUGCUUAACACAUGCAAGUCGAACGGUAAGGCCCUUCGGGGUACACGAGUGGCGAACGGGUGAGUAACACGUGGGUGACCUGCCCUGCACUUUGGGAUAAGCCUGGGAAACUGGGUCUAAUACCGAAUACACCCUGCUGGUCGCAUGGCCUGGUGGGGGAAAGCUUUUGCGGUGUGGGACGGGCCCGCGGCCUAUCAGCUUGUUGGUGGGGUGAUGGCCUACCAAGGCGACGACGGGUAGCCGGCCUGAGAGGGUGUCCGGCCACACUGGGACUGAGAUACGGCCCAGACUCCUACGGGAGGCAGCAGUGGGGAAUAUUGCACAAUGGGCGCAAGCCUGAUGCAGCGACGCCGCGUGAGGGAUGACGGCCUUCGGGUUGUAAACCUCUUUCAAUAGGGACGAAGCGCAAGUGACGGUACCUAUAGAAGAAGCACCGGCCAACUACGUGCCAGCAGCCGCGGUAAUACGUAGGGUGCGAGCGUUGUCCGGAAUUACUGGGCGUAAAGAGCUCGUAGGUGGUUUGUCGCGCUGUUCGUGAAAACUCACAGCUUAACUGUGGGCGUGCGGGCGAUACGGGCAGACUGGAGUACUGCAGGGGAGACUGGAAUUCCUGGUGUAGCGGUGGAAUGCGCAGAUAUCAGGAGGAACACCGGUGGCGAAGGCGGGUCUCUGGGCAGUAACUGACGCUGAGGAGCGAAAGCGUGGGGAGCGAACAGGAUUAGAUACCCUGGUAGUCCACGCCGUAAACGGUGGGUACUAGGUGUGGGUUUCCUUCCUUGGGAUCCGUGCCGUAGCUAACGCAUUAAGUACCCCGCCUGGGGAGUACGGCCGCAAGGCUAAAACUCAAAGAAAUUGACGGGGGCCCGCACAAGCGGCGGAGCAUGUGGAUUAAUUCGAUGCAACGCGAAGAACCUUACCUGGGUUUGACAUGCACAGGACGCCGGCAGAGAUGUCGGUUCCCUUGUGGCCUGUGUGCAGGUGGUGCAUGGCUGUCGUCAGCUCGUGUCGUGAGAUGUUGGGUUAAGUCCCGCAACGAGCGCAACCCUUGUCUCAUGUUGCCAGCACGUUAUGGUGGGGACUCGUGAGAGACUGCCGGGGUCAACUCGGAGGAAGGUGGGGAUGACGUCAAGUCAUCAUGCCCCUUAUGUCCAGGGCUUCACACAUGCUACAAUGGCCGGUACAAAGGGCUGCGAUGCCGUGAGGUGGAGCGAAUCCUUUCAAAGCCGGUCUCAGUUCGGAUCGGGGUCUGCAACUCGACCCCGUGAAGUCGGAGUCGCUAGUAAUCGCAGAUCAGCAACGCUGCGGUGAAUACGUUCCCGGGCCU
RNAcentral lists this ribosomal RNA (1340 nucleotides) under uncultured bacterium. RNAcentral's name for it is "bacterial SSU rRNA". It matches the Rfam family "Bacterial small subunit ribosomal RNA", at positions 28 to 1381 of the family's 1533-position model. The record is from RNAcentral.